AUUGAACGCUGGCGGAAUGCUUUACACAUGCAAGUCGAGCGGCAGCGCGGGGCAACCUGGCGGCGAGCGGCGAACGGGUGAGUAAUACAUCGGAACGUGCCCAGACGUGGGGGAUAACUACUCGAAAGAGUGGCUAAUACCGCAUACGAUCUAAGGAUGAAAGCGGGGGAUCGCAAGACCUCGCGCGUUUGGAGCGGCCGAUGGCAGAUUAGGUAGUUGGUGGGGUAAAGGCUUACCAAGCCCGCGAUCUGUAGCUGGUCUGAGAGGAUGAUCAGCCACACUGGGACUGAGACACGGCCCAGACUCCUACGGGAGGCAGCAGUGGGGAAUUUUGGACAAUGGAUGGAAAUCUGAUCCAGCCAUGCCGCGUGCAGGAAGAAGGUCCUAUGGAUUGUAAACUGCUUUAGUGCGGGAGCAAUAAGGUCCACGAGUGGACCGAUGAGAGUACCGCAAGAAUAAGCAUCGGCUAACGUCCGU
RNAcentral lists this ribosomal RNA (477 nucleotides) under uncultured bacterium. RNAcentral describes it as "bacterial SSU rRNA". It matches the Rfam family "Bacterial small subunit ribosomal RNA", at positions 29 to 506 of the family's 1533-position model. The record is from RNAcentral.